Molecule: ribosomal RNA, 254 nt
Filed under: uncultured bacterium
Lineage: Bacteria
Description: partial 16S ribosomal RNA
Rfam family: Bacterial small subunit ribosomal RNA
Source: RNAcentral
UACGUAGGGUGCGAGCGUUAAUCGGAAUUACUGGGCGUAAAGCGUGCGCAGGCGGUUCGUUGUGUCGGCGGUGAAAGCCCCGGGCUUAACCUGGGAAUGGCCGUUGAAACUGGCGAACUGGAGUGUGGCAGAGGGGGGUGGAAUUCCGGCGUGUAGCAGUGAAAUGCGUAGAGAUGCGGAGGAACACCGAUGGCGAAGGCAGCCCCCUGGGCUAACACUGACGCUCAGGCACGAAAGCGUGGGGAGCAAACAGG